This 119-nucleotide ribosomal RNA is filed under the name Melitaea cinxia (Glanville fritillary). The record is from RNAcentral. Lineage: Eukaryota; Metazoa; Arthropoda; Insecta; Lepidoptera; Nymphalidae.
UUAAACGUCCAUUACACGUUGAAUACACCGGUUCUCGUCCGAUCACCGAAGUUAAGCAACAUCGGGCACGGUCAGUACUUGGAUGGGUGACCGCCUGGGAACACCGCGUGACGUUGGCU